CAGUCGCCGCGGUAAUACAGAGGGUGCGAGCGUUAAUCGGAUUUACUGGGCGUAAAGCGUGCGUAGGCGGCUUCUUAAGUCGGAUGUGAAAUCCCUGAGCUUAACUUAGGAAUUGCAUUCGAUACUGGGAAGCUAGAGUAUGGGAGAGGAUGGUAGAAUUCCAUGUGUAGCGGUGAAAUGCGUAGAGAUCUGGAGGAAUACCGAUGGCGAAGGCAGCCAUCUGGCCUAAUACUGACGCUGAGGUACGAAAGCAUGGGGAGCAAACAGGAUUAGAUACCCCAGUAGUCCCUGUCUCUUAUAA
This 301-nucleotide ribosomal RNA is filed under the name uncultured bacterium. RNAcentral's name for it is "partial 16S ribosomal RNA". It matches the Rfam family "Bacterial small subunit ribosomal RNA", at positions 509 to 809 of the family's 1533-position model. The record is from RNAcentral.